GAUCCUGGCUCAGGAUGAACGCUAGCUACAGGCUUAACACAUGCAAGUCGAGGGGGCAGCGGGAAGUCAGCUUGCUGACUUUGCCGGCGACCGGCGCACGGGUGAGUAACACGUAUCCAACCUCCCGCAUACUCGGGAAUAGCCUUUCGAAAGAAAGAUUAAUGCCCGAUGGUUUCAAGGGAUUGCAUGGUAUCUUGAAUAAAGAUUCAUCGGUAUGCGAUGGGGAUGCGUUCCAUUAGG
Molecule: ribosomal RNA, 240 nt
Filed under: uncultured bacterium
Lineage: Bacteria
Description: partial 16S ribosomal RNA
Rfam family: Bacterial small subunit ribosomal RNA
Source: RNAcentral